AUGCAAGUCGAACGGCAGCAUGAUCUAGCUUGCUAGAUUGAUGGCGAGUGGCGAACGGGUGAGUAAUACAUCGGAACGUGCCCUGUAGUGGGGGAUAACUAGUCGAAAGAUUAGCUAAUACCGCAUACGACCUGAGGGUGAAAGUGGGGGACCGCAAGGCCUCAUGCUAUAGGAGCGGCCGAUGUCUGAUUAGCUAGUUGGUGGGGUAAAGGCCCACCAAGGCGACGAUCAGUAGCUGGUCUGAGAGGACGAUCAGCCACACUGGGACUGAGACACGGCCCAGACUCCUACGGGAGGCAGCAGUGGGGAAUUUUGGACAAUGGGCGAAAGCCUGAUCCAGCAAUGCCGCGUGUGUGAAGAAGGCCUUCGGGUUGUAAAGCACUUUUGUCCGGAAAGAAAUGGCUCUGGUUAAUACCUGGGGUCGAUGACGGUACCGGAAGAAUAAGGACCGGCUAACUACGUGCCAGCAGCCGCGGUAAUACGUAGGGUCCAAGCGUUAAUCGGAAUUACUGGGCGUAAAGCGUGCGCAGGCGGUUGUGCAAGACCGAUGUGAAAUCCCCGAGCUUAACUUGGGAAUUGCAUUGGUGACUGCACGGCUAGAGUGUGUCAGAGGGGGGUAGAAUUCCACGUGUAGCAGUGAAAUGCGUAGAGAUGUGGAGGAAUAC
This 665-nucleotide ribosomal RNA is filed under the name Ralstonia sp. M47C1A. RNAcentral describes it as "bacterial SSU rRNA". It matches the Rfam family "Bacterial small subunit ribosomal RNA", at positions 55 to 709 of the family's 1533-position model. The record is from RNAcentral. Lineage: Bacteria; Pseudomonadati; Pseudomonadota; Betaproteobacteria; Burkholderiales; Burkholderiaceae.